RNAcentral lists this long non-coding RNA (244 nucleotides) under Mytilus galloprovincialis (Mediterranean mussel). The record is from RNAcentral. Lineage: Eukaryota; Metazoa; Mollusca; Bivalvia; Mytilida; Mytilidae.
CCAAUUUGUCAGCCGUCAUCACGUAAAAACGAUGAAUCAAAGAAUUCAACUUUAUAUAUAACUAAUAUAGUACAAUGCUGUUGAUUAAAAAUUACACCACUCCAGACCCUUUUGUUUUCCACAUAAUUAAUAUUGCCAAUAAUUAAGAAGUUCCGGGUCGAAUCCGAUACCGAUACCAAUAGUAUAUUCACCUGUUACCUAUUAACUUAUCUGUACGUUCCGCAUCUGACAGGCGCACCACCAA